AUUGCUUCUCAGCCUUUUGGCCAAGAUCAAGUGUAGUACCUAUUUCCUAGGAACAAAAGGAAAAUGUGUAUUAUGCAAGAAACUAACAUUGUUGGCACAGAAGGGAUUUGAGUUACAUUUCCAGAUCUUUAAUUUCUCAAUGAAAAGAAAUAUACUAU
Heterocephalus glaber (naked mole-rat) is the source of this 158-nucleotide small nuclear RNA. Its record names the gene U2. It matches the Rfam family "U2 spliceosomal RNA". Rfam says of the family: U2 is a small nuclear RNA (snRNA) component of the spliceosome (involved in pre-mRNA splicing). Complementary binding between U2 snRNA (in an area lying towards the 5' end but 3' to hairpin I) and the branchpoint sequence (BPS) of the intron results the bulging out of an unpaired adenosine, on the BPS, which initiates a nucleophilic attack at the intronic 5' splice site, thus starting the first of two transesterification reactions that mediate splicing. NCBI's taxonomy places the organism in Eukaryota, Metazoa, Chordata, Mammalia, Rodentia, Bathyergidae. The record is from Ensembl.